Molecule: long non-coding RNA, 176 nt
Organism: Oncorhynchus kisutch (coho salmon)
Lineage: Eukaryota; Metazoa; Chordata; Actinopteri; Salmoniformes; Salmonidae
Exons: 3
Source: RefSeq, a predicted model, not a curated record
GAACUAGUGGUCAACAUUGGGACAAUGCAGCCAUAAAUAACAUGGACCAAUAUUUUCAUGGAGUGAGCAAGACCUGCCAGCAGAGCUCACUGGAGCAGGGAGACAUGCCGUCAUCCUUUUGGCGCCUGACAAAGCUUGAGAUUCAGAUCCUGCUGAACGAUGUUAAGCAUUCGAUU